UUUAAAGAAUGCUCUAAAAGUAUUUUAAUUAUUUAAUCAACGGCAAUGUGUGAAAAGCAUAUUAAAUAACACUUAACAUAUUUGAAUAUGUUAAAUAUUUAUUUUAUUUUACCAUGACAAACUUAUUACACUUACAUUUUAAAAAAUAAAUAAAUAAACGAAAUAGCGAUAAAAAAAAAAGGAAAUAAAAAAAAAAUACAAGACACUAUAAACUACUUGGUUUGUAGUGUUUUUCCUUUUUGGCAAUAAAUUAAAAAUUAAUAAUGAUAACUUAACUUAUAUUUAAAUUAAUAUGAUUAGAAAUUCGACAAAAACAGCGAUAUUCUUUUACUGCAAUAUUUUUUAAUAUUUUUCUUUUUCUUGAUUCCUUAAUAGUUAUCGUACAACGAUAAUGUUAAGACCUUAUCUUUACAUAAGACCUAAAGUUGUAAUAUUUUAUAAUUAGUAAUUUUAUAAUUAUAAUUUAUAACCAUAGUAAAAGUACCUAUAUGAUACAGUUUGUGACAUCAAAUUGUUGCCGGGAGGGGGAAAAUUAUAAUUAUAAUUGUAAAUUAUGUAAUUUCUAUUUUAUAUUUACAUAAUAAUAUUAGAUGGUAAGAUGUAAUCCUAUUGAUAAUUUUUUUUUUUUUUUUUUUAAUUAUAAAAUAUACGUACUAUAGAAAAAUUUCAAAAAAUGACUGUAACACACUCAAAAACAAAAUCAAAACGAAGGAAGAACACAAAAUCAUUACGAUAAACUAUACGAUUUUCUAAGUACUGAAUGUAUUAAAAUGUUUACAAAAAUGUUCGGUUAAGCAAAAAAAUGUAAUUAUAAAUUUGAUAUUUGUACAUACUAUUAAUAUUAUUAUUAAUGUAUAUCUAUGUAUAUGUACGUAUAGAAACAUACAUGCAAUUAAUUGUAUAAUUUUUUAUUUUUACAUAAUAAUCUAAAAGUAAAGUUAAUACUUUUAUUUAAUUUUAUGGUUUGUAUGAUCAUAAAUUAUUAUACACCUUGAUCAUUCAAGUUGAAAGAAAAAUUUAUUUCCAAACAAUUAACCAUGUGGUCGUCAUUAAUGUUCAAUGAACAUUCAUCUCAUACUCAAUGAAAUUUUUAUUAGAAAUACAUAGAUUUUUAGGAAAAAAUAUAUGCUUAUAAAAAUAUUAAAUCAUAAAACUAGCAAAGGUUUGUUUCUUGAUAAUUAUUCAGGUUGUAAGAAAAAAUGUCUGAAUCAGAUAGCUAACGAAAUAGAACACAACACAUGGUAUAGUAUACAGUGAAUUCAUAUAAAAAAAUCUUUUUUAGUGUUUGACCAAAAAUGCAUGUAUACAAAGAUAAAAUAAAUUAUUAGGUACAUUCCAAUGCAUUUCUGAAAGAUCUAAGCAUCACAUCUUCUGCAUGAUUGACAAAUGUCAAAUUAACAAUUAAAUUAUCAGAUUUAUUAAUAAAUGAAAUUCACCAAAAAUAUGGAGACUAAGUGUUAGCUAUACCAUACCAAAUUACUUUGAAAAUGAAAAUAUUACCACCACCAUUAUUAUCAAUAAGAAUUUUAAGAUACGCGUGAGAAUAUUCUAGUACAUCUAAACAAUGGUGUCGGUAAAUUUAUAUGGAGAAUUUAAUUAUUAUUUUAAUAAUUCGUGGACAUUUAAAGAUUUAAGUAAUUAAAUAAUAAUAAUCAUAAUCAUAAUCAUAAUAAUAAUAAUAAUAAUAAUAAUAAUAAUACAAAAUAAUGGCCACCAAUAGAUUUAUAGUGGCAAAACUUAAAGUUUUAUCAGAUUCAUAAUGCUAACGUAAUGGUUUUGUUUACAAAUUAACAAUAAUAUUAAUAUUAAUUAAAAUUAAUUCUAUUGAUGAAUGCAUGACAGUUUAAAAAUCAACUCACACGUAUGUUUUAAUAGGUAUAAAUGCUUUUAAAAAACUGGUUAUGUAAUAUAAAAAUGUGUAUAAUGUGUGCAUUAGAAUGUAAAAAAAAAAAAUAAUAAUAAUACAUUUUUUUUUUUUUUUAAUAUAUAUAUAUUAAAAGAAAAUUGUUUAUAAUGAAAACCAAAAUAUGUGUAUGAUCAGAGCACAACCCUCAUGAAGGCCGUCCGUGGUGUUACAAAACUUUUAAGGCAAAUCUAAGUAAUUUAAGAAGUUGAUCUUAAUGUUUUACCCAAAAUAUUUACUUAUAAAUUUAUACAUAACAUAAAAUAAUUAAAUAUAUAUGGGUAUCAGCAAAGAAAAACAGCUGAUCAUUGCAAUGGAAACAGACUGUCACUGAUCAACUUCUUUGUAUAAAUAACACCUGAUCAUUUUUAAAAACCAAUAAUGGUGUAAAAUCUAAAACUUUUCAGUGAAAAUAAUAUAUAGUUCAGAUUUAUUAAAUGAAAAAUGCACACAGUUCUGAUUAUAUAUUUUAACUAAGACUAAUAUUUAAUAUUAUACACAAGAUUUAAUUUACUAAUAUUUACAUAGAAAUGUAUAUAAAGUUGUUUUUUAUUGUUUUAAAAAUUAUUUUUAAUAUGAACACUCGUUAAAAAAACUUUUUAGGAAUAUAAUUUUUUUUUUUAGCAUUUUAUAUCUUUAAUAAAUACUGAUCUAUUCUAGUUUUAUGACUUAGAUAUAAAUAUUUAUACUUAUUUUAGUUUGUAUAUAUAUA
Non-coding RNA from Cinara cedri, 2615 nucleotides. Lineage: Eukaryota; Metazoa; Arthropoda; Insecta; Hemiptera; Aphididae. The record is from the annotation of a GenBank genome assembly.